This 518-nucleotide long non-coding RNA is filed under the name Lathyrus oleraceus (garden pea). Its description in RNAcentral is "Pisum sativum (pea) long non-coding RNA (PSAT_LNC014762)". Lineage: Eukaryota; Viridiplantae; Streptophyta; Magnoliopsida; Fabales; Fabaceae. The record is from RNAcentral.
UACAUAAAUAACAAAAAAAAAAAAUUAAAAAAAUCAUCUUUAAAAAAUCAACAUAGUAUUCUCUUUUAAAAAACUAUUUCUAAAUCUAUAACUAUAUAUAAAGGGGAUACAAGUUUUUGGAGUGACCUAUUUUUGUUCCAAAAUUAUCCUUUAUCUUUUUUAUAAAUAACUUGAGUGGUUGAUAUCUUUUGUUGGUAACCAAUUGAUAAACUAACUUCUAUCUCUCACAAAAAAAUAAAUAUAAUAUCUAUAACUUCUAUUAACUGUUGUUGAAUGAUGACAUAAGUUAAAAAUCCUCUUCUAUUUUUUUUUUUUAAAUUUUAUCUCUUUCUUAAUCAAUAUACUAUUUUUUUUGUUGAAUUUUUUUCAUUUUAUUAUACUUCUAUCUUACUUUUGAUUUUCAAUUGUAACUUUCUAAUAUGCAAUUUUUUUACUUCCAAUAUAGUAUGUUUUAAUAACCUCUCACCAUAUUUUUUAAAUUGACAAUAGUAUCUUUUAGUAACGGUAAUGAUAGAUUU